UGGGGAAUAUUGGACAAUGGGCGAAAGCCUGAUCCAGCCAUGCCGCGUGAAUGAUGAAGGCCUUAGGGUUGUAAAGUUCUUUUGACGGGGAAGAUAAUGACGGUACCCGUAGAAUAAGCUCCGGCUAACUUCGUGCCAGCAGCCGCGGUAAUACGAAGGGAGCUAGCGUUGUUCGGAAUUACUGGGCGUAAAGGGCGCGUAGGCGGUUUAACAAGUCAGGGGUGAAAUCCCGGGGCUCAACCUCGGAAUUGCCUUUGAAACUGUUAAGCUAGAGUUUUGUAGGGGAUAGUGGAAUUUCUAGUGUAGGGGUGAAAUCCGUAGAUAUUAGAAGGAACACCAGUGGCGAAGGCGGCUAUCUGGACAAAUACUGACGCUGAGGCGCGAAAGUGUGGGGAGCAAA
RNAcentral lists this ribosomal RNA (400 nucleotides) under uncultured bacterium. RNAcentral's name for it is "bacterial SSU rRNA". It matches the Rfam family "Bacterial small subunit ribosomal RNA", at positions 355 to 772 of the family's 1533-position model. The record is from RNAcentral.